UACGUAGGGUGCAAGCGUUGUCCGGAAUCAUUGGGCGUAAAGAGCGUGUAGGCGGUCCGGUAAGUCCGCUGUGAAAGUCGGGGGCUCAACCCUCGAAUGCCGGUGGAUACUGUCGGGCUAGAGUGCGGAAGAGGCGAGUGGAAUUCCUGGUGUAGCGGUGAAAUGCGCAGAUAUCAGGAGGAACACCGAUGGCGAAGGCAGGUCUCUGGGCAUUAACUGACGCUGAGGAGCGAAAGCAUGGGGAGCGAACAGG
This 253-nucleotide ribosomal RNA is filed under the name uncultured bacterium. RNAcentral's name for it is "partial 16S ribosomal RNA". It matches the Rfam family "Bacterial small subunit ribosomal RNA", at positions 524 to 776 of the family's 1533-position model. The record is from RNAcentral.